CGCGGAUAUAGAUGAAUUGGUAAAAUCAUUAGUUUUCCAAACUAAUUCAUUAAGGGUUCGAAUCCCUUUAUCCGU
Molecule: transfer RNA, 75 nt
Filed under: Montagnia macrospora
Lineage: Eukaryota; Rhodophyta; Florideophyceae; Batrachospermales; Batrachospermaceae
Description: tRNA-Gly
Rfam family: tRNA
About the family: Transfer RNA (tRNA) molecules are approximately 80 nucleotides in length. Their secondary structure includes four short double-helical elements and three loops (D, anti-codon, and T loops).
Source: RNAcentral